Molecule: ribosomal RNA, 254 nt
Filed under: uncultured bacterium
Lineage: Bacteria
Description: partial 16S ribosomal RNA
Rfam family: Bacterial small subunit ribosomal RNA
Source: RNAcentral
UACGAAGGGGGCUAGCGUUGCUCGGAAUCACUGGGCGUAAAGCGCACGUAGGCGGCUUUCUAAGUCAGGGGUGAAAUCCUGGAGCUCAACUCCAGAACUGCCUUUGAUACUGGAGAGCUUGAGUCCGGAAGAGGUGAGUGGAACUCCGAGUGUAGAGGUGAAAUUCGUAGAUAUUCGCAAGAACACCAGUGGCGAAGGCGGCUCACUGGCCCGAUACUGACGCUGAGGCACGAAAGCGUGGGGAGCAAACAGGG